AGUAUUUGUUACACUUAAUUGGAGCGUAGGAAGUAGAAAGGAAGUGUGAGAUUGGGUGCAUGUGGCAUGGGUUUCAGAAAAUACACAAGAACCCACGCCGCAGUUAUAGCCACCGACUACUGACUCAGAAUAAACUAACACACCCCAUUCUGAUUUCUGAUUCUACCAUUCAUUAUCAGCCAUCUCAUUUUUUAUACUCUUUUCUCAAUACCCUCUGAAAAAAUAUAAAGGAAAGCCACUAAUUUUUUAUGUAAAAGUUCACCAACUGCUGCUCAUCAUCUUUCUCCAUAUUGCUUUGCUUUUUAUGCUGGGGAAAGGGAAUAAAGCCACUUUUAAAAGUCGCUCACUCACACCCACUUGAGAAAAGAAGAUACUUGAUCCCUUUGCCCCUGCAAAUACCAGUUUGAAACAAGACUCUUUCUAAAGGCAUGCCAAAUUGGGAGCUGAAGCAUUGUUGCAAGCAUGAACAAGUCGUUUUUCUCGCCACUCUCGGCGUUUGCUCCGUUGUCAUUCUUGCUCUUUGGAGGACAGUGCUACUACUACCUUUCAAGCUUGUUACCGUGUUUAUUCAUGAAGCUAGUCAUGCUAUAGCGUGCAAACUUACUUGCGGCCAUGUUGAGGGGAUACAGGUUCAUGCUGACGAAGGUGGUACUACCCAAACACGUGGUGGCGUAUAUUGGUUCAUCUUGCCAGCUGGAUAUCUUGGUUCAGCAUUUUGGGGAAUGGUUUUAGUGCUCGCAUCCACCAAGCUCCUUACAGCAAGAAUUGCAGCAGGAUGUUUAGUGGUCACUCUAAUUGUUGUUCUUUUUGUGGCUAAAAAUUGGACACUCCGGGGCCUUUGUAUUGGAUUUAUUAUCUUCCUUGGUGUUGUAUGGAUUCUGCAAGAAACAACAAAGAUUAAAAUUCUGCGGUACAUCAUUCUGUUCAUUGGUGUAAUGAACAGCUUAUUUUCUGUGUAUGAUAUCUACGAUGAUCUGAUAUCACGAAGAGUACACCACAGUGAUGCUGAGAAGUUUGCUGAAGUGUGUCCCUGUCCUUGUACUGGUGUUGGCUGGGGGAUCAUCUGGGGACUCAUUUCUUUCUUGUUUCUCUGUGGAGCCACAUAUCUUGGUUUAGUGAUCUUGUCUUGAGGUGUUUCUACUCACUCCUAUGUGCAUGCGCGUCUUGGGCAGGGUGGUUUGGGAAUGGGCAAUGUGGUUUUUAUUCUAUAGCCAGUCACCAUCAUAAGCUAUUAGUUCUUCCAAGGUAGUUCGAAUUGAACCAGCCUCUUCUUGGAUGAGAAGUUGGAUUACUGCAGCACUUACAAUUACAAACAUAUACGGAUGCUGCAGGAGCACUUGCAUCGUACAUUUCCUCAUUAGGCAUCAGUCAUAGCUUCAUUCGAUUUGUCUUUAACAUUAUACUGUUGUACAUAUCAGUUUAACAUAGUUUCUUCACGGAACUAGUAGCUUUCUAAUUUUGGAUAUUUUUGUUGGAGUCACAAUACAAUUAUGUCAA
Molecule: non-coding RNA, 1497 nt
Organism: Nicotiana tabacum (common tobacco)
Lineage: Eukaryota; Viridiplantae; Streptophyta; Magnoliopsida; Solanales; Solanaceae
Source: RefSeq, a predicted model, not a curated record